GAUGAACGCUGGCGGCGUGCCUAAUACAUGCAAGUCGAGCGAACAGACGAGGAGCUUGCUCCUCUGACGUUAGCGGCGGACGGGUGAGUAACACGUGGAUAACCUACCUAUAAGACUGGGAUAACUUCGGGAAACCGGAGCUAAUACCGGAUAAUAUAUUGAACCGCAUGGUUCAAUAGUGAAAGACGGUUUUGCUGUCACUUAUAGAUGGAUCCGCGCCGCAUUAGCUAGUUGGUAAGGUAACGGCUUACCAAGGCAACGAUGCGUAGCCGACCUGAGAGGAUGAUCGGCCACACUGGAACUGAGACACGGUCCAGACUCCUACGGGAGGCAGCAGUAGGGAAUAUUCCGCAAUGGGCGAAAGCCUGACGGAGCAACGCCGCGUGAGUGAUGAAGGUCUUCGGAUCGUAAAACUCUGUUAUUAGGGAAGAACAAAUGUGGAAGUAACUAUGCACGUCUUGACGGUACCUAAUCAGAAAGCCACGGCUAACUACGUG
RNAcentral lists this ribosomal RNA (497 nucleotides) under uncultured bacterium. RNAcentral's name for it is "partial 16S ribosomal RNA". It matches the Rfam family "Bacterial small subunit ribosomal RNA", at positions 28 to 507 of the family's 1533-position model. The record is from RNAcentral.